This 1698-nucleotide ribosomal RNA is filed under the name Anchoviella sp. CBM-ZF-12586. RNAcentral's name for it is "16S rRNA". It matches the Rfam family "Bacterial large subunit ribosomal RNA". Lineage: Eukaryota; Metazoa; Chordata; Actinopteri; Clupeiformes; Engraulidae. The record is from RNAcentral.
GCCACAAAGCUAGCUCAAACCCUAUAGCAAAAUUUUUACUCUAAAUACCUACUCAAACACCUAAAAAUAGAAACCAAAUCAUUUGACCUUCCCAGUAUGGGCGACAAAAAAGAAUCCCUGAAGCAAUAGAUAAAGUACCGCAAGGGAAAGCUGAAAAAGAAAUGAAAUAACCCAUUAAAGCGCAAAAAAGCAGAGAUUUCCUCUCGUACCUUUUGCAUCAUGAUUCAGCAAGUUAAUUCAAGCAAAGAGAACUCUAGUUUGCACCCCCGAAACUUGACGAGCUACUCCGAGACAGCCAACCAUGGGCCAACCCAUCUCUGUGGCAAAAGAGUGGGAAGAUCUCCGAGUAGAGGCAAAAAACCUACCGAGCCAAGUUAUAGCUGGUUGUCCAAUAAAUGAAUAAAAGUUCAGCCCCGCCUAGCCCAACUCAAAACAGUCCAACGACAAAAGACAAAGAGCUCAUUCGCGGGAGUUAAUCAGAGGAGGUACAGCUCCCCUGAUACAGGAUACAACCUUUUUAGGAGGCUAAAGAAUAUUAUUUAUAAGGUCUCAGGUCUCAGUGGGCCUGAAAGCAGCCAUCUGAUCCGAAAGCGUUAAAGCUCUGACCAUAAACAAGCCUUUUAUCCUAUUUUAACAUCUGCCCCCCUAAACCUUAUUGGACCUCCCCAUGCAUUCAUGGGAGAGACUAUGCUGAAACGAGUAACAAGAAGAAUGAACUUCUCCAUGCACAAGUGUAUGUCAAAUUGGACUAACCACCGACAAUCAACGAACCCAGCAAAAGAGGGCCCCGCACACUCGCCACCUCUGGCCAAGAAAACUAUGCUAUCCAAAAUCGUUACCCCAACACAGGAGUGCUAAAACAAGGAAAGACCAAAAGAAAAAAAAGGAACUCGGCAAACCCAGACCCCGCCUGUUUACCAAAAACAUCGCCUCUUGCACCACAAAGUAUAAGAGGUCCCACCUGCCCUGUGACAUUUAGUUUAACGGCCGCGGUAUCCUAACCGUGCGAAGGUAGCGCAAUCAAUUGCCUUUUAAAUGAAGGCCUGUAUGAAUGGUAUAACGAGGGUCUAACUGUCUCUUUUUUCUAGUCAGUUAAACUGAUCUGUCCGUGCAGAAGCGGACAUUAUUAUACAAGACGAGAAGACCCUAUGGAGCUUUAGACGCUAGCCAAUUAUGAAUAAGCGACUUAAAACUAAAUAAGUCUCAAGCACCCAUAAACUAUGGUAAGGCAGUCUUAGGUUGGGGCGACCGCGGGAGAAAACAAAGCUCCCAAGCAGACCGGGGCAAUCCCUCAAGCCAAGAGUUACAACUCUAAGCCACAAAAGUUUUGACUGAAAUGAUCCGAUCAAAAGAUCGAUUAACGAACCAAGUUACCCUAGGGAUAACAGCGCAAUCCCCUCCCAGAGUCCCUAUCGACGAGGGGGUUUACGACCUCGAUGUUGGAUCAGGACAUCCUAAUGGUGCAGCCGCUAUUAAGGGUUCGUUUGUUCAACGAUUAAAGUCCUACGUGAUCUGAGUUCAGACCGGAGAAAUCCAGGUCGGUUUCUAUCUGUAAAGUCCCCACCCCUAGUACGAAAGGACCGGAGUGGGGGGGCCCAUGCCAAUAGCAAGCCCCUUAUCUACCUGCUGAAGCCAACUAAAGCAGACAAAGAUAAACAACCCCACGGCUCAAGAAAAGAGCCGGCUUAUUUUAUUCGC